AUUAAAACAGGCAUAGUUGUGCAGGCAAUUGCAUUGAGACUGCAGAUACUACUCAAACAAAUUAACAUCCUUCACAAAUUAAACAAGUUACAAAAGCAUAAAUUAGACCAAAGACAAAUUAAAUGUCAUUAUUAGUUCUCAUAACCUUGAUUGGAAUUCAAAAACAUACAUUGAAUAAUAUAAUGAAGCAGGAAAAACCAAAACAGUUUCUCCGGGGAACACAUACGAUAAGUUGCCUUAAAAAUGGAGAUUCUAGUAGCCUUCUGGCUUGUAGGCGAUGAAACUGAUGCAUUGCACUUGACGGACAUUGUCGAAUCCAAUGAUUCUAACCCAGGCUUGUGGGUAAGCCUUCUUUGCCUCCUCGACCUCAGCCAACACCUGAGUGGCAUCAGUGCACCCGAACAUGGGCAACUUCCACAUGGUCCAGUAUCUGCCAUCGUAAUAUAUAAGUUGCCUUAAAAAUGGAGAUUUUAGUAGCCUUCUGGCUUGGAGGCGAUAAAACUGAUGCAUUGCACUUGACGGACGUUGUCGAAUCCAAUGAUUCUAACCCAGGCUUGUGGGUAAGCCUUCUUUGCCUCCUCGACCUCAGCCAACACCUGAGUGGCAUCAGUGCACCCGAACAUGGGCAACUUCCACAUGGUCCAGUAUCUGCCAUCG
This 657-nucleotide long non-coding RNA is filed under the name Nicotiana benthamiana. Its description in RNAcentral is "long non-coding RNA (NBEN_LNC037301)". Lineage: Eukaryota; Viridiplantae; Streptophyta; Magnoliopsida; Solanales; Solanaceae. The record is from RNAcentral.